UACGUAGGGUGCAAGCGUUGUCCGGAAUUAUUGGGCGUAAAGAGCUCGUAGGCGGUCUGUCGCGUCGGCUGUGAAAACCCGGAGCUCAACUCCGGGCCUGCAGUCGAUACGGGCAAACUGGAGUACUGCAGGGGAGACUGGAAUUCCUGGUGUAGCGGUGAAAUGCGCAGAUAUCGGGAGGAACACCGGUGGCGAAGGCGACCACCUGGACUGAUACUGACACUGAGGUGCGAAAGCGUGGGGGAGCAAACAGG
This 254-nucleotide ribosomal RNA is filed under the name uncultured bacterium. RNAcentral describes it as "partial 16S ribosomal RNA". It matches the Rfam family "Bacterial small subunit ribosomal RNA", at positions 524 to 776 of the family's 1533-position model. The record is from RNAcentral.